This 350-nucleotide non-coding RNA is filed under the name Desulforamulus ferrireducens. RNAcentral describes it as "Desulfotomaculum ferrireducens T-box sequence". It matches the Rfam family "T-box leader". From Rfam's summary of the family: Uncharged tRNA acts as the effector for transcription antitermination of genes in the T-box leader family. T-boxes are found upstream of many aminoacyl-tRNA synthetase genes and some amino acid biosynthetic genes usually in Gram-positive bacteria. The record is from RNAcentral. Lineage: Bacteria; Bacillati; Bacillota; Clostridia; Eubacteriales; Peptococcaceae.
CUAUCGACAUUGAUGGAGGAAAGUAGAUCAAACCCAACCUUCCAGGGAGAAGAAGUCGCGACUGAGAGCUUCUUUAUGGUAUGGCUGAUUGAAGUUCCCUCCGGAGUUGCUGCAGUGAAAGAUUUUAGUAGCUUCAGCCGGGAGCCCGCCGUUAAAAGGGAGGAGGUAUCGGAUGUUUGUCCCGUACCGGUAAAGCAACUACACACUAGGGUGGUAUAGCGAAAUGAUGCAUUUCGUCCCUGGAGGAUGAAAUGCUUUUUUAUUACCGGCAGGAAGAAGUCCCGUACCUUUUGAGCUGGGCUAUUAAGCCAAUUUGGGUGGUACCGCGGAGAUAACUCUUCGUCCCUUGU